ACGCUCGACACCUACGGGAGGCAGCAGUGGGGAAUAUUGGGCAAUGGGCGCAAGCCUGACCCAGCAACGCCGCGUGAAGGAAGAAGGCCCUCGGGUUGUAAACUUCUUUUGUCAGGGACGAAGCAAGUGACGGUACCUGACGAAUAAGCCACGGCUAACUACGUGCCAGAAGCCGCGGUAAUCUGAGCGGGCUGGCAAGGC
This 201-nucleotide ribosomal RNA is filed under the name uncultured bacterium. RNAcentral describes it as "partial 16S ribosomal RNA". It matches the Rfam family "Bacterial small subunit ribosomal RNA", at positions 328 to 539 of the family's 1533-position model. The record is from RNAcentral.